Non-coding RNA from Danio rerio (zebrafish), 822 nucleotides. Lineage: Eukaryota; Metazoa; Chordata; Actinopteri; Cypriniformes; Danionidae. The record is from RefSeq and is a predicted model, not a curated record.
ACCUCAGUAAGAAUCAAAUAAGAAACACAGGAGUGAAUCUCUUAUGUGACGUACUGAAGGAUUCACACUGUAAACUGGAGACACUGGGACUGUGUGACUGUGGCAUCUCAGAUAUUUCAUCUUUAACUCAGUGUUUGAUGAAUACAAAAGCUCUGCGGUUUCUAAAAGAGCUUGAUCUGAGAUUCAAUCACAUUGGAGACUCAAAGCAGAAGCUCAUUGAUGUGAUGCGAGACUCAAACUGUAAACUGAUAAUAAAGCGUCAGCGGCCUGAUGACUCGAGAUGCUGUAUAUCAUAGUCAGCUUUGAAGAUGAGAGGAUCAGUGAACAUCAGUUGAGGAUCCACAGAAGAGUCUCAAUACUGUGGUAAAAUGUAGGAUUAGAAUGUGAUGAUAAAUGUUAAAUCAGGUGAAGAGACUCAGAAUGACAAGCAAAUAAUACAGUGUGUGUUAGAAACAUGAUAUUGAAUCUAUUUUCAUUACACAAUUUUUAAUUAUUAAUAUACAUUUUUAAGUACAAUACUUAAAUGUUUCAAAAGUAGAACAACGAUAAAAUUCCAAAAGUAGGUGUUCUUAAAUUUCAUUUUUAGCAUAUCUUUAUUACUGUAUUAUAUUUUAUAUUCUGCUUGCUAUAUGUGUCUGUUUCUGAUGCACAAAUGUUCAGCAUAUUGUGUUUGUUCUGUUGGAAAAAAGGGAUAUUUGUUUUCUUUUUUUUUCUUUUCAUUAAACAAUUGUAUUUGUAUUGCUUAAGGUGAAACAUUAACCAAACUUGUUCUCUUGAGUGUGAUAUGCCUUGCAUACAAAUGAAGCUGAUAUUAAUGCAAAA